UCGAGAAUCUUCCGCAAUGGGCGAAAGCCUGACGGAGCGACGCCGCGUGAUGGACGAAGUCCUUCGGGACGUAAACAUCUUUUAUGGAGGAGGAAGUUUUGACGUUACUCCAUGAAUAAGGGGCUCCUAACUCUGUGCCAGCAGGAGCGGUAAUACAGAGGCCCCAAGCGUUACCCGGAAUUAUUGGGCGUAAAGGGUGUGUAGGCGGCAUUGUUAGUCGUCCGUGAAAGGCUCUGGGCCUAACCCAGAGAGCGCGGGCGAAACGGCAAAGCUACGAGGGCGUGAGAGGUACAGGGAACUCAUGGUGUAGGGGUGAAAUCCGUUGAUAUCAUGGGGAACACCAAAUGCGAAGGCACUGUACUGGCACGUUUCUGACGCUGAAACACGAAAGCGUGGGCAUCGAAUGGGAUUAGAUACCCCCGUAGUCC
RNAcentral lists this ribosomal RNA (428 nucleotides) under uncultured bacterium. Its description in RNAcentral is "bacterial SSU rRNA". It matches the Rfam family "Bacterial small subunit ribosomal RNA", at positions 355 to 796 of the family's 1533-position model. The record is from RNAcentral.